AGCAGCCGCGGUAAUUCUAGCUCCAAUAGCGUAUAUUAAAGUUGUUGCAGUUAAAAAGCUCGUAGUUGAAUUUCGAAAUUUUUUUAUCGGUUGAAUCAACAGGUUCGUACUGAUUUUAAGAAUUUCUACCUUCUGGAGAACCUUAAUGUCAUUUAUUUGAUGUUUUGGGAAACCAGGACUGUUACCUUGAAAAAAUUAGAGUGUUUAAAGCAGGCUUAUGUCUGAAUAUAUUAGCAUGGAAUAAUGAAAUAGGACGGCAUGGUUCUAUUUUGUUGGUUUCUAGGAUCACCGUAAUGAUUAAUAGGGAUAGUUGGGGGCAUUAGUAUUCAAUUGUCGGAGGUGAAAUUCUUGGAUUUAUUGAAGACUAACUUCUGCGAAAGCAUUUGCCAAGAAUGUUUUCAUUAAUCAAGAACGAAAGUUAGCGGAUCGAAGGCGAUCAGAUACCGCCCUAGUGCUAACCAUAAACGAUGCCAAACCAGUAAUAAGACCUGAGUUCCUUAAAUGACUCGGCUUGGGACUU
RNAcentral lists this ribosomal RNA (520 nucleotides) under uncultured Pacispora. Its description in RNAcentral is "bacterial SSU rRNA". It matches the Rfam family "Eukaryotic small subunit ribosomal RNA", at positions 569 to 1089 of the family's 1831-position model. The record is from RNAcentral. Lineage: Eukaryota; Fungi; Glomeromycota; Glomeromycetes; Diversisporales; Pacisporaceae.